GCGUAAUUGGUUUAGUGGUAAAAUUCUCCGUUGCCAUUCUCGUGAAUUCGGGGAGCCCUGGGUUCGAUUCCCAGAUUACGCA
RNAcentral lists this transfer RNA (82 nucleotides) under Fusarium tricinctum. RNAcentral describes it as "tRNA-Gly". It matches the Rfam family "tRNA". From Rfam's summary of the family: Transfer RNA (tRNA) molecules are approximately 80 nucleotides in length. The record is from RNAcentral. Lineage: Eukaryota; Fungi; Ascomycota; Sordariomycetes; Hypocreales; Nectriaceae.